Molecule: unclassified non-coding RNA, 327 nt
Filed under: soil metagenome
Description: partial contains 5.8S ribosomal RNA, internal transcribed spacer 2, and large subunit ribosomal RNA
Rfam family: 5.8S ribosomal RNA (bases 1-120)
Source: RNAcentral
GAUGAAGAACGCAGCGAAAUGCGAUAAGUAAUGUGAAUUGCAGAAUUCAGUGAAUCAUCGAAUCUUUGAACGCACAUUGCGCCCCUUGGUAUUCCGAGGGGCAUGCCUGUUCGAGCGUCAUUAUAACCCCUCAAGCUCAGCUUGGUGUUGGGGCCUGCUGCACUGGCAGCCCUUAAAAUCAGUGGCGGCGCCAUCUGGCUCUAAGCGUAGUAAUUCUUCUCGCUAUGGAGUCCUGGUGGAUGCUUGCCAUCAACCCUCAAUUUUUCUAUGGUUGACCUCGGAUCAGGUAGGGAUACCCGCUGAACUUAAGCAUAUCAAUAGCGAGGA